Molecule: long non-coding RNA, 547 nt
Organism: Folsomia candida
Lineage: Eukaryota; Metazoa; Arthropoda; Collembola; Entomobryomorpha; Isotomidae
Exons: 3
Source: RefSeq, a predicted model, not a curated record
GGUACUGUUUUCUCGAUUAAUAACAAGACACAAAAACGAAUGUUCACGUUUACUUGGACGUUAUUUAAGUACAUAAGUAAAACUGAAUUUUUAUAAACCUCGGUAAGGAAAGGUAACAGGAUAAUUAGGUACACGGCAAAUAAAAAUAGGUAAAUAUUGGUCUGUCCAAUUACAUAUACACCUACCUAACCAACAAUGGGAUCUCAAGACAAAAGAAGCGUGCAAGAGAUGGCGCUAAAUAAUCCAAUUAUUUUGACCGAAAUAUUCAAGCAGGCCUCCUGCCCGGUCAAAAUUUCUCGAUUAGUUUGCCACUUCUGGAACGACGUGGUUCUCUCCCUGCCAAUCCCGAGACUCGCGUUUAACCUGACCACCAAGCAGCAAGAGGAUCUCCUUUUAACCGCCGUACAGUAUAGGCAGAAAGUCUUUCCACCCUCAUACUUUUUGCACUUAAAGUGCGAUAUUGCUCGAGAAGCUUUAUCGAAUGAAAUGAAAUUUUGCACAAUUACUUAUCGCGAUGUAAGGUUUUCGAAACCAUGUUAUGGAUAAU